RNAcentral lists this ribosomal RNA (1082 nucleotides) under Tubuca arcuata. RNAcentral describes it as "16S ribosomal RNA". The stretch from base 661 to 1043 matches the Rfam family "Bacterial large subunit ribosomal RNA", at positions 2073 to 2647 of the family's 2925-position model. The record is from RNAcentral. Lineage: Eukaryota; Metazoa; Arthropoda; Malacostraca; Decapoda; Ocypodidae.
CUCGAAACAAAUUUAGCUAACUUUAAAUACAAGUUUUUGUUGAAAAUAAAUUUGUAAGUUAAUGUUAAAGGUGAAAUGUUAAUCGAAGUUUGUUAUAUCUAGUUCUUUUAGAAUAAAUUUAAUUUUGUUUUUAUAUUAAAAAAUAUAAAAAGUAAAUGUAGGAGGGAUUAGCUUCUUAUAGAUUAAAAUAACAAAUAGUUAUUUGUGUGUGUGUUGAAUUAGGCUUAAGAGUGGCUAUUUUAAUAAAGUGUUUUAACUAAAUUAAUAUUACCAGUUAAAAAUUUUUUUAUAAGCUUUUGUACAUAUAAAAGAAUAAUUUAUAAUUUGUAAAAUUUAGAUAUAAUUAUUUUAUUAGUAUAUUGUAGUGUUAAGGUGGUAAUAUGUGUAAUAAAGAUUACUGUUUAGCAGUGAAGAAAUAAUAUAAAGGAAUUCGGCAAAUAAAUUUUUUGCCUGUUUAUCAAAAACAUGUCUGUUUGGAGGUAUAAAAAGUCUGGCCUGCCCACUGAUAACUUUUUUAAAGGGCCGCGGUAAUUUGACCGUGCAAAGGUAGCAUAAUCGUUAGUUUUUUAAUUGGAAUCUUGUAUGAAUGGUUGAACAAAAGAAUGACUGUCUCUAUAUUUUUUUUGAAUUUAACUUUUAAGUGAAAAGGCUUGAAUGUUUUAAAAAGACGAUAAGACCCUGUAAAGCUUGAUGAGUUUUAUUAUUUAAUUAAAUUAGUAGUUGUAUAAAAAUUUAAUAAGAGCAAUUUAUUUUAUUGGGGCGAUAAUGAUAAAAUGUGUUUAACUGUUAAUAAAUAAAAGACAAAAUUUAGUGUGUAGGCGCAAUAAAUGAUCCUUAAAUUAAGAUUAAGAGUUUAAGUUACUUCAGGGAUAACAGCGUUAUUUUUCUUGAGAGUCCAUAUCGAAAGAAAAGUUUGCGACCUCGAUGUUGAAUUAAAAUUUCUAUAUAAUUGCAGAAGUUAUAUUAGAGGGUCUGUUCGACCUUUAAAUUUUUACAUGAUUUGAGUUCAGACCGGCGUAAGCCAGGUUGGUUUCUAUCUUUUAAUUUUGAAGUAGUUAUUUUAGUACGAAAGGAUUUAAUAA